CUGCUGCCUCCCGUAGGAGUUUGGACCGUGUCUCAGUUCCAAUGUGGGGGACCUUCCUCUCAGAACCCCUACGCAUCGUCGGCUUGGUGGGCCGUUGCCCCACCAACUACCUAAUGCGCCGCAUGCCCAUCCGUGACCGAGGUCGCCCCCUUUGGCCGGCAGGGGAUGUCCCCUCCCGGCAUUAUGUUGUAUUAGGCGGGAUUUCUCCCGGUUAUCCAUCUGUCACGGCCAGGUUGCAUACGUGUUACUCACCCGUGCGCCGGUCGCCGG
This 270-nucleotide ribosomal RNA is filed under the name uncultured bacterium. RNAcentral describes it as "partial 16S ribosomal RNA". The record is from RNAcentral.